GGUCGAUACAUCUGUGACCAUAAAGAAAUCUCUCCAUCUGUACAUAUAAUAACAUAUAUUUGUUAGACAUGAUUUAUACAUACUUAUAAAGAUUGUUCAAUCAUAUUGCUUAACUCAUGCCUAAUGAACCAGCUGGCAAUGCACCACCAUUAGCUAGAUCCAUAAUAGGAUCUACAACAGGCCGACCUAAUCUUUGUGGUGCUAUAAAGAGAAACCUAUCCCAUACCGACA
RNAcentral lists this long non-coding RNA (231 nucleotides) under Elaeis guineensis (African oil palm). Its description in RNAcentral is "long non-coding RNA (EGUI_LNC018478)". The record is from RNAcentral. Lineage: Eukaryota; Viridiplantae; Streptophyta; Magnoliopsida; Arecales; Arecaceae.